ACUAAAACGUAGGAGGACACUUGUCCAGAUAUCAACGGUGAAAAGUUACCCCACAACGGAAAAGACACGCGAAAAUAAAGUAAAUAAAUAAUAAAUAAAAAGGCUCCGAGUGCCUUUACGAUUGUGGAUACUGUUGUCUGGAAACGACAACAACCCGCAGGCUACUGCCAGAAUCCAGACCAACAUAUUUUUAUAAGGCGCAAACUGGGGAAAAAAAACCUUUUUUUUUUUUUUU
Molecule: unclassified non-coding RNA, 235 nt
Filed under: Hevea brasiliensis (rubber tree)
Lineage: Eukaryota; Viridiplantae; Streptophyta; Magnoliopsida; Malpighiales; Euphorbiaceae
Source: RNAcentral